AUGGGACGGCAGUGGUCCGCCGGCAAGCUCGUUCUGAUCCUGGACGCAGUACAUUGGAAUCCUGAAGCACCACCACGAACGCUACCGCGCGUGCACCUGCGGUGCGGUAAGGCACCACCCUGUUGUGCCAGCAGCCAACUCCGGCGUGUCAGCUUAGUUAUCCUCAUCAAGCCACAACAAAACUCCAAACAUGUAAGAAUCUACCUUGAAGCAAGGUUUCUACUGGUUAAUGCGUUCCACCCUAUUGAUGACAGCUAA
RNAcentral lists this ribosomal RNA (258 nucleotides) under Triticum aestivum (bread wheat). Its description in RNAcentral is "partial small subunit ribosomal RNA". The record is from RNAcentral. Lineage: Eukaryota; Viridiplantae; Streptophyta; Magnoliopsida; Poales; Poaceae.